This 468-nucleotide ribosomal RNA is filed under the name uncultured bacterium. RNAcentral describes it as "partial 16S ribosomal RNA". It matches the Rfam family "Bacterial small subunit ribosomal RNA", at positions 28 to 507 of the family's 1533-position model. The record is from RNAcentral.
GACGAACGCUGGCGGCGUGCUUAACACAUGCAAGUCGAACGGAAAGGCCCUGCUUUUGUGGGGUGCUCGAUUGGCGAACGGGUGAGUAACACGUGAGUAACCUGCCCUUGACUUUGGGAUAACUUCAGGAAACUGGGGCUAAUACCGUAUAGGAGCUCCUGCUGCAUGGUGGGGGUUGGAAAGUUUCGGCGGUUGGGGAUGGACUCGCGGCUUAUCAGCUUGUUGGUGGGGUAGUGGCUUACCAAGGCUUUGACGGGUAGCCGGCCUGAGAGGGUGACCGGCCACAUUGGGACUGAGAUACGGCACAGACUCCUACGGGAGGCAGCAGUGGGGAAUAUUGCACCAUGGGCGGAAGCCUGAUGCAGCAACGCCGCGUGCGGGAUGACGGCCUUCGGGUUGUAAACCGCUUUCGCCUGUGACGAAGCGUGAGUGACGGUAAUGGGUAAAGAAGCACCGGCUAACUACGUG